Oncorhynchus tshawytscha (Chinook salmon) is the source of this 294-nucleotide long non-coding RNA. Lineage: Eukaryota; Metazoa; Chordata; Actinopteri; Salmoniformes; Salmonidae. The record is from Ensembl.
GUCAGGUCAGGCAUCUGUCUCCUAUAGAUCCAGGUCUCUAUCAUCUCAGCAGCUUAGCCAGCAGGUCAGGGGGUUCCAGGCAUCUGUCUCCUAUAGAUCCAGGUCCCUAUCAUCUCAGCAGCUUAGCCAGCAGGUCAGGGGGUUCCAGGCGUCUGUCACCACGUAUACUGUAGGCCUCUCACACCAGCAAAUCCAGACACACACACACACUAUGUGGAUCAUGUCCCCUCUGUACUUUGAUGGCAUCGUGUUAAACUCUUCAGUCGACCACAGGGAUGUCUGACCCGACCUGUG